Oncorhynchus keta (chum salmon) is the source of this 905-nucleotide long non-coding RNA. RefSeq lists it as uncharacterized. The record is from RefSeq and is a predicted model, not a curated record. The transcript is spliced from 5 exons. Lineage: Eukaryota; Metazoa; Chordata; Actinopteri; Salmoniformes; Salmonidae.
UUAAUGCAGCAGGUUAGGAGAAUUAAUGUAGCAGGUUAGGAGAAUUAACGUAGCAGGUGAGGAGAAUUAACGUAGCAGGUUAGGAGAAUUAACGUAGCAGGUUAGGAGAAUUAACGUAGCAGGUUAGGAGAAUUAAUGUAGCAGGUUAGGAGAAUUAAUGCAGCAGGUUAGGAGAAUUAAUGUAGCAGGUUAGGAGAAUUAACGUAGCAGGUUAGGAGAAUUAAUGUAGCAGGUUAGGAGAAUUAACGUAGCAGGUGAGGAGAAUUAACGUAGCAGGUUAGGAGAAUUAACGUAGCAGGUUAGGAGAAUUAACGUAGCAGGUUAGGAGAAUUAACGUAGCAGGUUAGGAGAAUUAACGUAGCAGGUUAGGAGAAUUAACGUAGCAGGUUAGGAGAAUUAAUGUAGCAGGUUAGGAGAAUUAACGUAGCAGGUUAGGAGAAUUAAUGUAGCAGGUUAGGAGAAUUAAUGUAGCAGGUUAGGAGAAUUAACGUAGCAGGUUAGGAGAAUUAACGUAGCAGGUUAGGAGAAUUAACGUAGCAGGUUAGGAGAAUUGAUGUAGCAGGUUAGGAGAAUUAACGUAGCAGGUUAGGAGAAUUAACGUAGCAGGUUAGGAGAAUUAACGUAGCAGGUUAGGAGAAUUGACGUAGCAGGUUAGGAGAAUUAACGUAGCAGGUUAGGAGAAUUAACGUAGCAGGUUAGGAGAAUUAACGUAGCAGGUUAGGAGAAUUAACGUAGCAGGUUAGGAGAAUUAACGUAACAGGUUAGGAGAAUUAACGUAGCAGGUUAGGAGAAUUAACGUAGCAGGUUAGGAGAAUUAAUGUAGCAGGUUAGGAGAAUUAACGUAGCAGGGGGUGUACACACACACACACACACCUACCAGGGGGUGUAUAUACACACACACCUAC